GGCACUGUGGUUUAGUGGUAGUACGUUUGUCUUGCACCUCCAGGGUUGGGGGUUCGAUUCCUGCCUCUGGCC
Ameiurus melas (black bullhead) is the source of this 72-nucleotide non-coding RNA. Lineage: Eukaryota; Metazoa; Chordata; Actinopteri; Siluriformes; Ictaluridae. The record is from the annotation of a GenBank genome assembly.